UCCUCCCUGCCCACGAACCCCGGCCGCAGAUGCGGCGGAACGAACCGAUCCGGCUUCGACGGAGACGAGGGAGAUGGUGAACCGGCCUGAGCCCGGCCCAGUGGUAGAGGAGCCAAGGAAUCCUGCUCGGGCCGGGCCUGGAUGGGAGGUGGCGGCGGUUGCUGCUUCUGUGGCGGCGGUAGUUGGGGCUGGGCCUUGGGGGUAGGGCGGCUUAAUACGAGCAUUCCUCCAUGUGUUCGGGUGGCAGCGAGAUGCGAUUUGUAAGAAUUUGAUGGAGAUGAUGAAGAAGAAGAAGGGGCGGAGGUGGCAGUGGUGGCGGCGGUGGAAUGGGAGUUGUUGUGGAAGAGGUGAUUGAAAUUGAUGGAGGCGUAUUUGUUGGUUCUUGUUGCCAUCCACCACCACCGACGCGAAGGAAAAGAGAGAGAGAGUUGAGAGGAGGCACAAACUACGAAAGGAAAAGGCAACUAGGAUUUCAAAACCACGGUCUGGCCAUUUCUUGUAACAUAUAUGUUC
Molecule: long non-coding RNA, 513 nt
Filed under: Vitis vinifera (wine grape)
Lineage: Eukaryota; Viridiplantae; Streptophyta; Magnoliopsida; Vitales; Vitaceae
Description: long non-coding RNA (VVIN_LNC003686)
Source: RNAcentral